AGAUGAAUUUGUUUGCUUGCCUGGCUUCACCCAGUAAACCUCCCUAGUUUCAGACCUAUAUUAGAACUAAUGGGAAAUUGACCGGAAAGAUAAAUAUGGAUGCACUUUUGUUCUGGCAGCAAUCAUUUAGAUUGCCGCUGACUGCAUUGAGUCAUUAACCUCCUCUGACAGGACCAAGAGAAGCCAAUGAGAGAAAGCGAUCUGAACGGCUUGCAUUUACAGCACAAAUCUCAGCAAGAAUUAAUCAUUUAUUGUUGUUUUACUUCAAGUGGGGUACAACAGGGGCCAGAGCAAGAUGGAAAUAAGGAGGAUCUGCAUCCACCACAUGAGGACCGCAGCUGAUAUAGGCCCCAAAACCGAAAAAGAGGGUUUUGGUGAAGCGUGGGACGUUUAGUGGGGAAACAAGCACACAAACGACCCUGUUACAGGCCUCCAAGCUCUAUGUGAUCAACCCUUUUGACAAGGUCAAACCCGCUGGAUAUCUGCAGUUAGCACUGCCAAGGAACGCGACAUGUCAUCAAGUGUUUGCCUAAUCCACAUUUGAAUUGCAUCAUAUCAACACACAAACACAACCCCACAAGUCCUGACCUCCGUCUUCACUGGAGCCCAUAACUAUGGAAAUAUUCGGAUGUGGAUUGCAUCCCACAAGCUGAUUGCCAAAGUUACUGCUCAGAUAUAAAUAGAUGUUUUUUUGACUCAAAGGAGCAAAUUCUCGAAGCACAUCAAGACUGCGUAUCUAUUUUAGCAUUGCUGUUACUUUCUGCUGGAUUCCCUCAGUGUAUCGUGUGUUAAAACAAUGCAGACAGUAUUGAACAUGGUCUGAAAAAACAUUGCUAUCAGUGGAACCAAUUCAUAUUUAGUUAAUUUCCUGGAAAAUGUGUCAACUACAGUACAUGUAUUAGUGCUAUUUUAGUAGCUUUGAAAUACUAUUUUAGUUUUUAUUACUAUUUUUAAUGAAUGUCUUUAAAGGCACUUAAGUAAUCCCUUUAUUUAUUUAUUUAUUUAUAAUUUAUAUUUUGUUAUUGUUGUGUAAAAUCUUCUAUACUUAUGUUUAAUCAUUAUGGAUUCUUUUACUUAUAUAUUUAUUUAUUUUUCUUUGACAUUUCAGCAUUGUGUUGGUAUAGGAAUUAAUAGUAAGAAAAGGAGAAAAAAUGAAUGCUUUUGGAAGUGCUUUUGUUACUGAACAAUUUCAUGUUUUGAUAAAAAUAAAUAAAUAUAUUUUUAAUGAA
Molecule: long non-coding RNA, 1229 nt
Organism: Cyprinus carpio (common carp)
Lineage: Eukaryota; Metazoa; Chordata; Actinopteri; Cypriniformes; Cyprinidae
Exons: 3
Source: RefSeq, a predicted model, not a curated record